Molecule: ribosomal RNA, 253 nt
Filed under: uncultured bacterium
Lineage: Bacteria
Description: partial 16S ribosomal RNA
Rfam family: Bacterial small subunit ribosomal RNA
Source: RNAcentral
UACAGAGGGUGCAAGCGUUGUUCGGAAUUAUUGGGCGUAAAGCGCGCGCAGGCGGUUCUUUAAGUCUGAUGUGAAAGCCCACGGCUCAACCGUGGAGGGUCAUUGGAAACUGGAGAACUUGAGUACAGAAGAGGAAAGCGGAAUUCCACGUGUAGCGGUGAAAUGCGUAGAUAUUGGGAAGAACACCGGUGGCGAAGGCGGCUCACUGGCUCAUUACUGACGCUCAGGCGCGACAGCGUGGGGAUCAAACAGG